UUCUCCGGCGGACGUCCUAGGCGUGUCAGGUAAUCCGGCGGGUGUCCUGUAGGACGGCCCCGGUUAGCAAAGAUGUCCGGCGGCCGGUGGCGGAGCAGGUCUCUCAUAGGCCGGCGGCGGAGCAGGUCUCUCGGAGACCGC
This is a long non-coding RNA of Fundulus heteroclitus (mummichog), 141 nucleotides long. RefSeq lists it as uncharacterized. NCBI's taxonomy places the organism in Eukaryota, Metazoa, Chordata, Actinopteri, Cyprinodontiformes, Fundulidae. The record is from RefSeq and is a predicted model, not a curated record. The transcript has 3 exons.